This 497-nucleotide ribosomal RNA is filed under the name uncultured bacterium. Its description in RNAcentral is "partial 16S ribosomal RNA". It matches the Rfam family "Bacterial small subunit ribosomal RNA", at positions 28 to 507 of the family's 1533-position model. The record is from RNAcentral.
GAUGAACGCUGGCGGCGUGCCUAAUACAUGCAAGUCGAGCGAACAGACGAGGAGCUUGCUCCUCUGACGUUAGCGGCGGACGGGUGAGUAACACGUGGAUAACCUACCUAUAAGACUGGGAUAACUUCGGGAAACCGGAGCUAAUACCGGAUAAUAUAUUGAACCGCAUGGUUCAAUAGUGAAAGACGGUUUUGCUGUCACUUAUAGAUGGAUCCGCGCCGCAUUAGCUAGUUGGUAAGGUAACGGCUUACCAAGGCGACGAUGCGUAGCCGACCUGAGAGGGUGAUCGGCCACACUGGAACUGAGACACGGUCCAGACUCCUACGGGAGGCAGCAGUAGGGAAUCUUCCGCAAAGGGCGAAAGCCUGACGCAGCAACGCCGCGUGAGUGAUGAAGGUCUUCGGAUCGUAAAACUCUGUUAUUAGGGAAGAACAAAUGUGUAAGUAACUAUGCACGUCUUGACGGUACCUAAUCAGAAAGCCACGGCUAACUACGUG